This is a small nuclear RNA of Mesocricetus auratus (golden hamster), 103 nucleotides long. Lineage: Eukaryota; Metazoa; Chordata; Mammalia; Rodentia; Cricetidae. The record is from Ensembl.
GUGCUCGCUUUGGCAACACAUAUACUAAAAUUGGAAUGAUACAGAGAAGAUUAGCAUGGCCCCUGCACAAGAAAGCAUUAGCUGAGGGCUUGCUUAUAGUUUC